GCAGAGGGCGGCACAACAUCAACUCCCAGUCGUGUUAAAUCAGGACCUCGAGCUGUCAGCGCCGUCAGGAUUACACCGUUAAAAACCAUGAAAGGCUCUCCGGACAUGAUUCCCUCCCCAGAUCUGGACCCGAGCAGAGUUUGCAAAGGUAAAGGAGUUGUAACUCUAAGGGCGACGCUUGUCCACGUAGUCGACGAGGACUUCGUCAAUGAAGAGCCAGUUAUCGUGACACCGACAUGUGAGUCGAGCCCAUUCCACCUCUGGUGAUGAGAUAAUAUUUAG
Molecule: long non-coding RNA, 282 nt
Organism: Nematolebias whitei (Rio pearlfish)
Lineage: Eukaryota; Metazoa; Chordata; Actinopteri; Cyprinodontiformes; Rivulidae
Exons: 3
Source: RefSeq, a predicted model, not a curated record